This 75-nucleotide transfer RNA is filed under the name Rhizobiales bacterium TMED94. RNAcentral describes it as "tRNA-Gln". It matches the Rfam family "tRNA". From Rfam's summary of the family: Transfer RNA (tRNA) molecules are approximately 80 nucleotides in length. Their secondary structure includes four short double-helical elements and three loops (D, anti-codon, and T loops). RNAcentral also lists the same sequence under 1 other name. The record is from RNAcentral. Lineage: Bacteria; Pseudomonadati; Pseudomonadota; Alphaproteobacteria; Hyphomicrobiales.
UGGGGCGUAGCCAAGCGGUAAGGCAGCGGGUUUUGAUCCCGCGAUGCGUAGGUUCGAAUCCUAGCGCCCCAGCCA